UGCGGUUAAAAAGCUCGUAGUUGGAUCUCGGCAAGUAGAGGGCGGUAUGCUUCGUAGCAUUACUGCCCUAUUACUUGUAGUUUUGCCAGAGGUUCCUGGGUGCUCUUAAUUGAGUGUCUAGGGAUGCUGGCAGGUUUACUUUGAAAAAAUUAGAGUGCUCAAAGCAGGCUAUUACGCUUGAAUAUUCGUGCAUGGAAUAAUAGAAUAGGAAGUUGUUUCUAUUUUGUUGGUUUUCGGAAAUCGACUUAAUGAUUAAUAGGGACAGUCGGGGGCAUUUGUAUUCAAACGACAGAGGUGAAAUUCUUGGACCGUUUGAAGACAAACUACUGCGAAAGCAUUUGCCAAGAAUGUUUUCAUUAAUCAAGAACGAAAGUUAGAGGUUCGAAGGCGAUUAGAUACCGCCCUAGUUCUAACCAUAAACGAUGCCAGCUAGCGAUCUGAGGACGUUUUUUUUGUAGACUCCUCAGGAAGCUUCCGGGAAACCAAAGCGUGUGGGUUCCGGGGGAAGUAUGGUUGCAAAGCUGAAACUUAAAGGAAUUGACGGAAGGGCACCACCCAGGAGUGGAGCCUGCGGCU
Molecule: ribosomal RNA, 576 nt
Filed under: uncultured marine eukaryote
Lineage: Eukaryota
Description: SSU rRNA
Rfam family: Eukaryotic small subunit ribosomal RNA
Source: RNAcentral